Molecule: ribosomal RNA, 118 nt
Filed under: Oreochromis niloticus (Nile tilapia)
Lineage: Eukaryota; Metazoa; Chordata; Actinopteri; Cichliformes; Cichlidae
Source: RNAcentral
GCUUACGGCCAUACCACCCUGAACGCGCCCGAUCUCGUCUGAUCUCGGAAGCCAGCAGGGUCGGGCCUGGUCAGUACUUGGACGGGAGACCGCCUGGGAAUACCAGGUGCUGUAAGCU